RNAcentral lists this ribosomal RNA (339 nucleotides) under bacterium. Its description in RNAcentral is "partial 23S ribosomal RNA". It matches the Rfam family "Bacterial large subunit ribosomal RNA", at positions 2588 to 2925 of the family's 2925-position model. The record is from RNAcentral.
UUAAAGCGGUACGCGAGCUGGGUUUAGAACGUCGUGAGACAGUUCGGUCCCUAUCCUCUGUAGCCGAAGGUGAUUUGAGGAAGGCUGUCCCUAGUACGAGAGGACCGGGACGGACGCAGCUCUCGUGUGCCAGUUGUUCUGCCAAGAGCAUGGCUGGUUAGCGACCUGCGGAAAGGAUAACCGCUGAAAGCAUCUAAGUGGGAAGCCUGUUCCAAGAUGAGAUCACCCACCGGGUUAACCGGGUAAGGCCCGUGGCAGAACACCACGUUGAUAGGCCGGAAGUGUACGCAUGGCGACAUGUUUAGCUGACCGGUACUAAUCGGCCGAGGGCUUGGUUCU